The sequence is a small nucleolar RNA, 225 nucleotides long. It matches the Rfam family "Small nucleolar RNA snR31".
GAAUCAAUUUAUUAUACCAUACGUUCUUGCUGGCGUCAUCUUAUUCUUCAAUGGAUGAGGUUCGAUGCCCUGGCGAGUUUGAUUCUCUCAAAUAUUUGACGUAUGGCAGAACAAUUUUAUGCAAGAAGUAUCUCCAGCUGCUGAUAAUGGACCGGAGGCCUUUCUCCUCUGGACCGCCUAUUAAAAAAAAUCUGAUGCAGCUGGUCAUUCAUUCUUGCUACAGAA